AGCAGCCGCGGUAAUUCCAGCUCCAAUAGCGUAUAUUAAAGUUGUUGCAGUUAAAAAGCUCGUAGUUGAAUUUCGGGGUUCUACCGUUGGUCGGGCUUUGUCUGUACUGGCGUGUGGAAUUUCUACCUUCUGGGGAACCAUCAUGUUAUUAAUUUAACGUGGUGGGAAACCAGGACCUUUACCUUGAAAAAAUUAGAGUGUUCAAAGCAGGCUUAUGUCUGAAUACAUUAGCAUGGAAUAAUAGAAUAGGACGGUGGUCCUGUUUUGUUGGUUUCUGAAUCACCGUAAUGAUUAAUAGGGACAGUCGGGGGCAUCAGUAUUCAAUUGUCAGAGGUGAAAUUCUUGGAUUUAU
This 352-nucleotide ribosomal RNA is filed under the name uncultured Racocetra. RNAcentral describes it as "SSU rRNA". It matches the Rfam family "Eukaryotic small subunit ribosomal RNA", at positions 569 to 929 of the family's 1831-position model. The record is from RNAcentral. Lineage: Eukaryota; Fungi; Glomeromycota; Glomeromycetes; Diversisporales; Gigasporaceae.